GUGAAUCAUCAAAUCUUUGAACGCAAAUUGCACUCUCCUCGGAGAGUAUGCCUGUUUGAGUGUCAGCCUAUAAAAAAUUGACAUCGUUGCUGUUUCGCGGUGGCGUUCGUCGGAAAUUGGGUUACCUUAAAUCCUUUUGUGUUUUAAGCGACUUAAAAUUUUCUUUUUGGUUCCAUGUACGUUUCUAAGAUUUAUUUCUUUACACGUUUAAGGUAUCGAUUUUUAUUAGAUGGGACCAUCAUAACGGAUCGCGUUC
RNAcentral lists this unclassified non-coding RNA (256 nucleotides) under Glomeraceae sp. RNAcentral describes it as "partial contains 5.8S ribosomal RNA and internal transcribed spacer 2". The stretch from base 1 to 65 matches the Rfam family "5.8S ribosomal RNA", at positions 84 to 154 of the family's 154-position model. The record is from RNAcentral. Lineage: Eukaryota; Fungi; Glomeromycota; Glomeromycetes; Glomerales; Glomeraceae.